This 270-nucleotide ribosomal RNA is filed under the name uncultured bacterium. RNAcentral describes it as "partial 16S ribosomal RNA". It matches the Rfam family "Bacterial small subunit ribosomal RNA", at positions 793 to 1055 of the family's 1533-position model. The record is from RNAcentral.
GUCCACGCUGUAAACGAUGACGACUAGGUGUGGGGUGGGUUAGUCCACUCCGUGCCGCAGCUAACGCAUUAAGUCGUCCGCCUGGGGAGUACGGCCGCAAGGUUGAAACUCAAAGGAAUUGACGGGGGCCCCGCACAAGCGGUGGAGCAUGUGGUUCAAUUCGAUGCAGAGCGAAGAACCUUACCUGGGCUUGACAUGCUGGAAGUAGAACCCCGAAAGGGGAACGACCUGUUAAGUCAGGAGCCAGCACAGGUGGUGCAUGGCUGUCGU